Molecule: ribosomal RNA, 257 nt
Filed under: uncultured bacterium
Lineage: Bacteria
Description: partial 16S ribosomal RNA
Rfam family: Bacterial small subunit ribosomal RNA
Source: RNAcentral
UACAGAGACCUCAAGCGUUAUCCGGAAUCAUUGGGCGUAAAGCGUGCCGAUAGGUGGUUUAUUAAGUUUUGGGUAAAAGCCAGAAGCUCAACUUCUGAGUUUGCUCAAGAUACUGAUAGACUAGAGGGGCAAAGAGGUGCUUGGAACGAAUGGUGUAGUAGUGAAAUGCGUUGAUAUCAUUCGGAACACCGAAAGCGAAGGCAGAGCACUGGGUGCCACCUGACACUGCUAGGACGAAAGCGUGGGGAGCGAAUGGG